This 456-nucleotide unclassified non-coding RNA is filed under the name Hevea brasiliensis (rubber tree). Lineage: Eukaryota; Viridiplantae; Streptophyta; Magnoliopsida; Malpighiales; Euphorbiaceae. The record is from RNAcentral.
GCUCCUUUCUUUUUUUUUUUUUCCUCAUCUAUUUUUCUCAUAUAUUUACUCAAUCCAAAAAUAAUGGCCAAGGCCCUCUUCUCUUUAUUGUGCAAAGGUAGUCUCUACAUGUCUUUUGGUCCCUCUUUCCCCUUUUUCCAAUUAUUUUUUCCUACCAUUUCUGUAUGCCAUUUCUGGCAUCUUCUUUUGGAUGCUUUUGUUUUCUAGAUCUUUUUAAGAGAAAUGUAGAGAAGAUUAAGAAGAAUGCACCAAUUUAAAUAAUUAAUAUGAAUUAGGAAUAAAGGUCAAUUUGCCUCUUGCUUUGUAAUCAGGUGCGCCUCAAGCACAAGGCACAUGGGCCUCCAGGUGUAGUGCCUCAUCCAGGGAAAGGCGAGCGACCUCACCCAAGCGUAGGGAGGAACCAAAUGCACCUAGGUAUCCUCGAGAGACGUCAGGCCAAGGCUUUUAAAAAUCGGC